CGAGAGAGAAGAUUCUCAGGCAGGCAAGGAGGGAGGACGACUUUUACCGCGGCGUGCGGCGAGGUAGAGGAUCAGAGUAGAAGAAACAGGGAGGAAAAAAAGUAAACGGAGUGAGAAAGAGGAGACAGGCAAACUAUUUACAGAUCACAACUCCAUACAGAGUCACCCUCAAGACCCAACACGCACAAACUCAAGCACU
Molecule: long non-coding RNA, 199 nt
Filed under: Populus tremula
Lineage: Eukaryota; Viridiplantae; Streptophyta; Magnoliopsida; Malpighiales; Salicaceae
Description: long non-coding RNA (PTRE_LNC002906)
Source: RNAcentral